GGAGACGUGGCCGAGUGGUCGAAGGCGCUCCCCUGCUAAGGGAGUAAACGUUAACGCGUUUCGAGGGUUCGAAUCCCUUCGUCUCUG
This is a non-coding RNA of Octadecabacter antarcticus 307, 87 nucleotides long. The record is from Rfam. NCBI's taxonomy places the organism in Bacteria, Pseudomonadati, Pseudomonadota, Alphaproteobacteria, Rhodobacterales, Roseobacteraceae.